AUACGAACUGUGCAAACGUUAUUCGGAAUCACUGGGCUUAAAGGGUGCGUAGGCGGACUUGAAGGUCCGAUGUGAAAUCCCACGGCUCAACCGUGGAAUUGCGUCGGAAACCACAAGUCUUGAGGGAGUCAGAGGUAAGCGGAACUGAUGGUGGAGCGGUGAAAUGCGUUGAUAUCAUCAGGAACACCGGUGGCGAAAGCGGCUUACUGGGACUUUUCUGACGCUGAGGCACGAAAGCUAGGGGAGCGGACGGGAUUAGAAACCCUAGUAGUCC
Molecule: ribosomal RNA, 274 nt
Filed under: uncultured bacterium
Lineage: Bacteria
Description: partial 16S ribosomal RNA
Rfam family: Bacterial small subunit ribosomal RNA
Source: RNAcentral